GAGGCGGGGUCUCCCGCUCGUCGGAGGGGGCGCGGAACCGAUCUUGCGCAUGCGCGGGCGCUGCUCGGCGCGUGCUGCCUGUGGGGGGAGGUGCGGGCGUGUGGGGUCAGCCCCUUGCGCGCGCCUCCGUGGGCGUGAGUGUGCACGGGCGUGCGGGCACCUCUGCCUGCAGCACGCGGGUGAGCUGCCAGAGCCCUCCUGCACGUGGGCAUACAGAUCCACGGGAAGGGUGUAUGGGCGUAGGUAUGGUAUGGUAUAUACAUACGAAAGUGGAAAGGAAAAGGCAAAUUUUUAAGCCCUUGUUUAGUUCUGUGUGCACUUUUAAGGUCUUUAAAAGGACAGGGACGUACAUUACGGCAUGUAACUUGGUUUUGGAAGGCCUUGUGCCUGUCACGGGCGUCCUGGCAGGACAAGCUCACGUCCAGCUUUUUGUGCGCCAGCACCCCCAAGUCCUCCCCAGGGCUCCUCUCAGUGAGUUCUUCUCCCAGACUAUACUUAUGCCUGGGGUUGCUCUUCUUGUCCUUUGCAUCCUUCAGCAGUUUCAAUUCUAGCCUAGCGCUGGCCUUCACGAUUUCAUUGCUCGUUUAGAUGGUGCUCCUGAAGUUCUCUCUUCAGUCUGUCCUCUACGCUCCCUGCGUGGAAGCUUCUCCAUAAACUUUUUUGGGACCUUUGGUCACCUUGGCAGCUGAAGUUUGCAUCAUUAUAGCAGGAAGGAGCAGGACUGUUCCAAGAAAUUUAAGAUAGAGACACCUUGGGUUUCCUUUUAUCAAGGAAAUUCUCUUUUUUUAUCCCUCUUUCCUUCCAGAUAUCUGAUAUAUAUAACUAUUUUUUUUCUUAUUUUUGGCCCUCACAGAGCAUUACAUGCCCUUUUUUUUUCUUUUUCUUUUUUCUCUCCCAUGGAACUACUGACCACAAACCUGACACCUCGUCCUGGGUUAGGAAUGGCCAUCUCGCAGUCCAUCGCUGCUCUGAGGUGACAUUGCGUAGAAAUGUCACAGGUUUUUCUCUGAAGAAAGAAGAGAACACAAUCUCUUAGUCUAAAAGUGCGGUUGUGAGAUGGAGGCAGGUGAUAGUAGAUACAGGAAAUGUGCAGGAUGGGUCAUGGUCUCAUAGUGAUAGGACAAGAGAUAAUGGCUUUAAGCUAAAAUGGGGAGAUUUAGGUUAGAUGUUAGAAGGAAAUUUUUCACUCAGAGGAUGGUGAGGAGAUAUGGGACAAAUCACGUUGGCUACGGACACUCAAACAACGAUACACUGAGGAAUACACCACGAGCAAAUAGCUCUGUUGCAGUAGUGCAUGGAUUGACGAAGGUGUGUGAUGGAUUUCAGUUUGAUUCUACAAGGGAUAAAUUGCUAUUUGGGGAAAGUAUUAAGUUACUUUUUGGUUUUAUAUCAUGUGUUUGAAAUUUUUACACUGAAGUGACUUGACUUGCCAUAGAUUAAUUAUGGCCACCAAUGUCCCUGGGCUGCUUCUGUUUGGAAGAGGAAAACUGUACUGCCUUAUUAAGUAUGUUACAUUUUCCAAAGCACUCAGGUAUUGCGGUAUAGAUGCGCUUUUGUACCUUGAGUGUUUUCAGCCAAGGUAUAGCCAGCUACUGGGAAGCAACUGGAUCUGACCAGCUAUGCAAACUCCACAUUUGGAGAAAUGUGAGUGGAAUUCUCAGUGGAAAAGCCACUUCUGUGUGUCUCUUCGCUAAUCCAUACUGCAGCACUCAGGCAUCACUAAGUGCUGCUGCUGAGGGGAAUGAGUGGUUCAGCGAUGUCUUGCAGUGAUCCCCUCCACAGAAUGGGCUGUGGUGAGAUGCUUCAAUUACCUGAUACAAGCAGAGCUGGGUAAAAAUGUGAAACCCAACAAUUAUAGCUAAUAGGCUGAUUGCUAUGUAGAAGCCCUGCAGAAAACCUAAUCUCGGCAUCCAGACAUUUGUAAACAAGUGUCUUUUCUUCACUGCUGGAGGAGAGCAGAUGCGACUUGCCUCCCAAGUUGUGUGGAAUAGGCAGUGAUUUCCAGCAUGAGGACAAGGAAAAAUUUUAAUUAAAAAUUGAAUUCCAAUUCACCAUUCACAUGUAAUGCUGGAGAGAUACCAUCAGGUCUGCUGCAUAUUAAUUUCAGAUGUUGAUGUCUCACUUCAGAGAGAAUAAUUUUCUUUGGAGAUAUCUUAGUGAGCAUAUGAAGAACGCUGCAUGUAUCCCAUUCUCAUUUCAUGUGAAAACUCCAAUACAAAGAACCCAGUAAUACUCCUUUUCUGCGUUGAUUUCAGAGAAUUAUCUGAGAAAAUGAGAUCUUGAAGCCCUGUAAGUGUAGCCCCUUAGAUGAGAGGCAUCUUUUUCUGAACAGUCUACCUUAGUUAAUCCUUUUUUGACAGAAAGAGUACACUGAAGUGUUACGAGCCUUUGGGAGCCAAGCCAAAUGCUUCAGCCUGCUGAUAGCUGGAGAUUUUAUGUCUCCCUUUGCCGUUAAAAGAUAAGGGACAGGAAAAAAAUAAUCAGUAAUAUAAUGAAAUACUGAGUUAGAGCCUAGUCUUGGUAACACAGAGAAAAACCCCUGUGGUGAUUGAGUGAUUGUGAUGGAAAUACGAGUUGUUACUGGGAUAAGAAAGAGUGGUCUGUUAUCCCAGCUGUUCCUCUCUUUUUUCCCUUGAGGAAACUUGGAGAUCGGGGGUUAGCACUCUGCUCAGAUCUCUUCAUUUGCAGUGCAGAUGCAGACAGGGAGACUUAAGCUCUUAAGGCUAUCUAUAGGGGACUGCAGGUUGGUUGGGUGGAUGCAGUGUUACCUUUGCUGGAGGAGGAGAGGAAGCCGAGAGAACGUGGUGGAGGCAGCAUGGCCAUGCCCUGACUGGUGAGCGAGAUGCUCCAGCUCUUUUGGGGCAGAAGGCGGCCACAGCCGGAGUGGAUGCUGUUCCUAAACUUUCCUUCUUGCUGUCAUGUCAGGAAUUAACAGGUUGAGAGUAGUUAAUGUGCCACCCAAAAUCUUAAAAUCCAUGCAAAAUCUUGGCUCCUCUACCUUGUGCUGACCCUCCUUGUGCUGAGAGCUGUGGUAAGGUUUUAGGUAGAGUGAGCUACAAAUGAAGCAAGGGGAAAUAAGGAAACAGGCACUUCACUUUCCAGAGUCCUCUGGAGACAUGUUUUCACCACAUCCCACAUAUUUUUAUGUAAUAUGUUUUUUUUGCCAGUGUUAACUUUCAAUGUCUGAAGCCAGUCUUAGCUUUUAUUAUUGGCUUGAUAUGUAGGAAUAGCAGGGAGAAUGUUUAAACUCCUCCAGGAUACUGCUCUUUUCAUUCAUGAGACGUAGAAGCAUUAGCCUGAAAAACACAGGAGCUAAAUGCAAGCAGUGCAGAGAAAAGUUUGUUUGAUUCUUUGCCUCAGCUUGACACUCCCUUUUGUCAGGCAUGCUUCCAGUUACCCUAAAUUCCCACUGGAGGAGGAAAAGGUUGUGAAUGCUUGGUGAACAAACUAUCAGGCGUGACUUUCAGUGCUUCAUUCUAGGAGGUGAGCUACUGAUCUCUGCUUCUUCACUUCAACCUGAAGGAUGUUUGCCUUUCAGAAAUGUAGGCGUCUCUGAAAGGCAGUGCAUGCUUCUGAGUCCUGAAACACGUACUUGUUCUGCCCCUUCCUCACACAGACUGGUCUCUGGGUUAAAGUGUGGUGUGGAGGUUCCUGCUAUCUUGACCUCUGUCCCAUCUCUAGCUGUAAGGCUGCUCUCAGCUGCUGGUGAUGGUGUUUUUGUUCCUCUCUGUGAGCUGAGGGAGGUUUCCCCUGCAUUUCGCUGCUUUCCCCAGCACAGCGGCCCCUGGAAGGAAUUGAGUGGAAGGAGAAGCAGCUCAUGCUCACCUCUUUGUCCUUGAGUCUUUGAGUUGGCUGUCUUUCUGCUAGCCUUGGGUACACCUUGCUUAUUUUCCUUGCAGGGGCAGAUUAUGGACGGAACUGUUCUUCUCGUGAGGUGCAGAGCUUGUACUUCACCGCAGGUCUCCAAAAUAUUCUGUUCGGUCACCUCUGCAGAUGAGUUGGAAAAGCUCCUUUGUGGCACUCUACCUUCUUUCCUUUUUUUUUUUCUUUUUUUUUUUUUUUUCCGUGCUGUGAGGAUGAUAGCAUUGCAGGUAUUCCCGACCCAUUUUUUCCUGCCUUUUUGCUCACUGCGGUGCUCACAUGCUUCUCUACAUUCACAGCCCAGCCUUGGCUCCUGGGAGGGUGUCUGGUUUCAGAAAGAAGUCAUGAGUCGUUGAUGUAGUUGUGAAAGAUGUUCAGAAGCAAUACUUCUGUAUUUACUCAGAGAUUUCAUGGGAACAUCUUGGUGUCUCCUGCAGCAUGCAGAUGAAACUGUCUUGCAUCACACAGCUAUGCACGUUUGGGUUAACUCUUGUUUCACUUGUAAGUGAGAAGCCUGAUUGACACAGCUGUUUUCCUGACCGCAUGCCUACAUUAUUUUUCCUGGAUAUAUAUAGAAUCCUGGCAUGCUGAGCAGAGCAAAAUGACUUUGUGCAAUUAAUGUGACAUGCUUAAUAAUGCUUGGAAGGGUGCAGGCAUCUGCGUUCAUCAACCUGCCACAGCUAAAAAAAAAAAAGUACUGCCAACCAAUCCGAGCACAAACACAGCACGUGUUUUUUGAAAACGAGGGGCCACAAGGUGCCCAGUAGGUAAUAUUGCUUUUGAGACGAGGCACUGUAUUUUCCCAAGAGAAACUUAUGUCGCGCCAGAGACUCCCUUUACCCUUGGGUUAUACUACUGGGUGACAAAUUCCAUUUACGAUCUUUUUUUCCUUUGGCAUUUUAAUGUCAUAAUUACUUUCCAAUUUAAGCAGCUUGAUCCUUGAAUACAAAAUAUGGUUUGGUUAAUAGCACUGCAGUGGCACUUUGGUGAAAUCAGGUCCAACUAGCUGUCCCUAUUUUUUUUCCAGUCAAUAAUAAAUGAUUUUUAUAAGGUCAUUAUGACAUUAUUGAAAAGUUGAAGACUUGGGUAAUGAGCGUAGAAUAUGCAGCUUUCCACACCUGGUGGUUUUGGUACAGCUGCAUUAGUAACACUAUUGUCUGGAGAGGCUUUAAUGUGGAAAGGAGGGUGCUCUUGAAAGGUAUCUGCAUGAAAACAACAUCUUGUUUAGCGUGAGAAGAAAAAGUGUCGGCCACAGGUCCAGAUUGCCCUGGCUGGGGUGUCAGGAGACACGGAUGUGAAGCCUGGCUCCCCUCCUUUCCUUAGCAGCAAUACAUGUCUUACUGCAGUUCUUCUUCAGCAGCUGCAGGCAGUGAAAGCACAGAAGCAAAGAGGAGCAGGGGAGGAGAAGGAAUGUUUAAGCAACCUUUCAUGCCUUGUUCUGCUGUGAAUUGCCUGCUUUUGGUAUGAGGUGGAAAUUUAAUUCCUGUGUUUUGGGUUUUGAUCCCUGCCUUACUUCCAGGCAGUGUCAGACAACAGGGCAGAGGGAUGAGGGGACGCUGACCACUGAAAGAACCUAGCUGGGGAGAAGAGGAUGAAAAGAUCAAUUUAAGCGGGGAUAAGUUGCAUUUAAACCCGGAGGCUAAAAGAGCUACAGCCAGCAUGUCUCAGACAGCUCCUAUCCCAAAUGCCGGGCUCACCAUGGAAGUACAGAACUGGGGGACACCUUGCAGAUCUCUGUUGGAGGAUGAAGUGCUCGGUGUCCUGCUAGAGCAUGUCCUGUGUCUGACCCACGCGCUUGCAUUGCUUUUCUGUGGAAACUACGAUAUCAUCCCCCAUCUCAGCCCCAUGUGACACUGGCAUGUGGCCAUGCCACACCUCCUGACCCUGGGGCUGAAAUACACUCUGGUGCACACUGAGCAGAAGAGAUCAUUCAGGCCAUUGUGCACCCGGCAAAUGCAUUCAGCAGGUGUUUUGUCUGGAAAAGCAUUGAACAUCUCAUCCAUACAUUUCAAUCCACUACUGCCCAAACACAGACUUAUGGUAAGGGGUCUCUGAACUUGCGAUUUUGCUUUCACAGUUUUGCUUAUGUAAUUUUACACUUGGUAGUAUAAGGAAGUAAUACUGUCAAUUUGACAUGCUGGAGGAAUGCAGGUAUUUUCACAGAGAAGGUAAAAUCCUUCAUACCAGAGGAAAAUUCUGUUGAAAUAGAUGGGAAUUUAGCUCAAGUAAGUGCUGAAAGGCUUGGUCCUUGGGGUGGAAAUACAUGUUGGAAUUGUACCAAGGUGCCUCGGUGUUUCUUGUUCCCAUUGCUUUUCUCUUCCAGAUAUGAUGACUGGAUGAAGAACUCAUUUGAACUGAAAAUAAGUAUAUUUUAAAACAAGGCAUUCAUUCUCCUAUGUCCAAAAAUCUGCUCACACUUAAAACAGUGUAUUGCUUUUUGUGCUGGUUUUCUCAGCUGGUCUUUAAUGUGUGUGAACUGUGAAAUCUUGAUUUUAAUUAUAUAGAAAAGGCCAAAGCUGUUAUCAAAUGAUUUGGUUUGCAAAGGCGGGAUGAGCUUCUGUGAACUAGUUUCCUUACUAACCAGCAGCGAUCAUUUAUUGCAGGUACUUAAAAAACAGCCACUGUACAGUUUAGAGGCAUUGAAGAAGAACUAUAGUGGUUGUCAUGCAUAUGAGAAUCAGAUUCAAAUAAUUCCAAUCAAUAUUAAUUGUGAUUUCUUCUCAGUUUUUCCCUUCUAAGCCUCUAAGUUACCUGACAGCCUUGCAAAUACAGAAAGAAAUGUAAAAAAAAAAAAAAAAAAAAAAAAAAAAAAAAAAAUCACAGGGCAGGCAUGAUUCUGUGCCCAUGGAUUUUUCUGUAGCCCUUGAAGGUUGCAGUGACAUUGCUUUUCUAAAGGAAGCAGCAGGUAAGAGCUUUUUUACCAGUUACAUCUGAUUUGAUAAGUAACUGGUUUCCUCACCAUUCUAAGGAGAAUAUUGAAAAUAAAUGCCAUUGUAUGCUUCCAAAUUCAUCGAAAUUGAUGCAGUUACAGACAUAAAUGCAUUGUAAAUCUGGAUUAGUGCUCAGAAGAUGUAACUGUAAGCAUAUGACUCCUGCGUGAUGUAGAUUCUGUAGCAGUGGCCAUCACUGCAUAGCCUGCUGCUUUUCAGUCUCUUGUUCUUACUGUAUGAGCCAGACUUGAUGCUUGUUUGUUUGUUAUUCAUAGAAUCAUUGAAUGGCUUAGCUUGGAAGCAGCCUUGAAGAUCAUCUAGUUCCAGACUCCCUGCCAUAGACAGGGUUGCUGACCACUAGAUCAGACUGCCCAGGGCCCCAUCCAGCCUGGCUUCCACGGAUGGGGCAUCCACAGCUUCUCUGGACAACUUGUUCCAGUGCUUCACCAUCCUCUGAGAGAGGCACUCCAGCCGUCUGACCAUCUUCAUGGCCCUCCUCUGGACCUGCUCCAACAGCUCUGCAUCCAUCUCAUUGUCUGGGCCCCGGGCCUGGACACAGUGCUCCAGAUGGGGCCUGUACAAGGGCAGAGUAGAGGAAGACAAUCACUUCCCUUCUUAUCUGUAAUGAUCAUCAAAGAGGUGAAAAGGUACCGUAAGUUUUAAACUGGUCUGCUAUUGAAGGCACAGUCACAAGAACUGCUUUUUGUGGCUCAGUCACCAGUGGAACUUCCAUGCUGGAAUGAUCAUUUUUCCUUCAGCAUACAUUUUGCCCCUUCCAGCCUGAAGUUAAUGACUGGAAAUUGCUGGAGAUUCUGUUCCUCAGAAUGAGGGAAAAUGGAACAAGAUGCUUUAUAUAAGGUUGGGGUUUAUCUUCCAUUAAAGUACCCACACGGAUGUUUCCAAGACUGGCAUACUGGAAGGGAUCCCUCUCUAGAGGGAAUAUCCUUUUUUUUUCGUGUUAUAAUUUAGUUAAUUCCAUGCUUACAGUAACUCUCUUUAAUGUUCUAUUAAACUAAUGAGCUACUAAGUGUAGCAUUUAGUGCUUCUGUUUGUUUAUUUCUUCUCCAUAAAAACACUCCUAUUGGACCUGAAAGCAAGAUUUGCACAAGAAAAUCUUUGUCCUGGGAGUGAGUGCCGUGGCUUGGUUUCUCUGUCAAGACUCUUGGCUCCUCAGAUAUAAGCAUGUAGGAUCCUCAGCUAAGAGAUGCGAAAUGUGGUAAGUGCUUGUAGUCAUUAUAAACUGGAAUCAAAGCUGUAGCCUAACUUCUAGUGCUGUAAUGUUUGUAAUGCUGGAAAUACUACCUUCAUGCAGAGUAUCAGAAGUGCACUGUACACUUAAUUACUAAUUAAGACAUUACUAUUUGAAACACUAGAUACUGUGCCUAGAUAUUCUUUUUUUUUUUUGUUUUUCAGAGUAAAGUGAUGCCAAAUCUAUAAAAUCAUGAACUGAAAGUAGUUGAGAGUAAUAUCCAAAUUUAACUGAACACUCAGGGCUGGAUGUGACCUUUGGAGAUUAACACCUUGAUUGUUUUGUGACUAUAUGCAAAUAUUUGGGUAAGAAGUAAUUAGGGAACAAUGGCACUGUCCUCCAUAUUGAACUUUCCUCAGCAAAAGAAAUGCUGUGCCAAUACAGAUGCAGUGGGCAUGCAGCAUUUGCCUUCCACAUGAGUUUACGGGGAGGUAGUGUGGAAGAGGCCAACUCACGCAGUGUCACCUCCUGAUCAUUCCUUUGUGUUUGAAUCUUUAUUUCCACUAUCUCAAGAGUUAAAGGCUAACAUUUGAAAAGGUUGUUUUGGGGUAAAACCUACCUGUACUGGGUUAUCAUACAGCUAUGAAAAAGACAAUUGUUAUUACCCUGAUGAGGAAUUGGUAAUAAAACAACAGUGGCUUUAUUUUAUUUGAAAAAAAAAAAAAAAGUUUGGGGGUUUAUAUUACUCCACUCAUUGUCAACAUAAUCAUUUCUACAGAGACAUUGUAAAACAGAAUGGUUACUCAUAAUGAGUGACUUUGUGAUGAGACCCUUAUGUGAUGUAGAUUCUACUGCAGCGAGCAUCACUGUGUGUAGCGUGCUGCUUUACAAUUUUUUUUUGUAAUUAUUUUUAUUUUUUACCAUCUGAGGAAGACUUGAUGCUUGGAAAGGUGUGUGAUGUUGUUAGCUUUGUGGCUGUGAAAACAUUUUCAGCCAAAGCAGAACAGAUAAAAGAGAAAGCAUCAGGAAGGAAUGUCUUUACUCCACAGGUGUUGGCAGAAGUUGAUUACUGAAAUAGAGUUUCUCCCUGCAAGUUUGUGGCAGGCUUUGAUAGCUGGAAAGAGUGAUGAUUACUGUAGGGUUGUCUGUGAAUAAGUAGAUUUUAUCUGCAACUGAAGCAGUUACAAAUGUAGCAUAUGCAUUGCUAUGCAGUACUUAUUUCUUACUCACCUGAGAAAGUAAUCUGAGAGGCUUUGAACCUCCUGUUGCUCACUGAGAAGGUCACUGGGCAUUUUUUGUGGACACAGACCUUUGUACAGUUCUUUGUGAAGACUGUAAUGUGAGGAAACCGUGCUGUAGACCCAAACUCUCUUUCAACUUUCUUGUGAUUUGAGUUCUGAUAUCUGAUUUUUCAUAUAUGAAUUCAUGAAUGCAGUAAAAGAGAUCUUAUAACUUCAAUAGAGUUUCCUUACAGUGGUCUUCUUAUAUUCUUGUGGUUUAUACCCACGCAAUGUGGAGGAUGUCACGUGCAGUCAAAAUUUCAAUUUCCACUUAUAUUGUCAGAAUAUGGUUAAAAUGGUUAUGCUGAUUAGUUUUAUUACUUUAUUUAAUGCAUCUUCAUACUGUCUCUGUAUACAUUUACACUUAGUGCAGAUGCAAACUGAACAGCAAAGUUAACUAGCUCAGUGCAGCCACAUCACACCCUUGACUCUCUGAGAGCUAGGUUAAGCAUGUGGUAACCACACUUGGGGAACUGUAGCAAAGCCCUCGGCUCAAGAGGCUUCUAACUCCUCAGCCAAAUGGACAGGCAGGAGCACCCCCGGCUGCUGCUGCUAGCCAUCAGAUCUUGAAACAACAUGGGAUUCAAGCAGGAGAGAUAAAGUUUCAGGGGAAAAUUCCUCAGGGAAUGUGAACCAGCCCCUCCUACCUUCUGAACUGUGGGUGCCUGGGUCAUCCUUGCUGCAGAGCCGUGCAUGCGGCAGGGACUGCGCCUUUGCUGCAUUCAGCUCUGACCUGGUGUGCCUCCUGUUGGCAUCAAGCAGAACAGAAGUGAGAUGGAGCUAACCCCUUAUGACAACUGCUUAAGUAAAUGAUGCAAGAGGCAUCUCAUACGUGAGACUUGCAGGACACUGGGGGCAUCAGGGUUAAUGUCUGAGCCAUGCUGAAAGGGUCGCAAGGAGGGAGAUCAUUUCUCAGCUCCCCUGGCUUCUGUUCUCGAAGAUUUAAAAUAAGUUUUGGCUGGAUAAAGCAAGUAGCUUUCCCCAACUCCAUCAUUUAAGUCUAUGGGGCCCAAAUUGAAUGGCCUUUAGUGUUAAUCUUUAAAUCUUUCAAUGCAGUGAUUAAACAUGACAGGGAUUAUGCCUCUGCCCAAUGGCUGCUCACCUAGGUGUGCUGCUGGUGGGAUGGGAAGCACAAAGCUAAAUGCUCUUAAGCAUCCAAGCACAAUGCUAUUUCAAAAUACAACGAGCCCUGUCAUGUCCGCUGUUGACGGAGCAUUUCCUUUUUUGCUGGAGGUAGGGUGAAACAAACAGCUGUUAAAAUGAACAUCUUCCAAAGCAAAAAAAAAAAAAAAAAAAAAAAAAAAAAAAAA
Long non-coding RNA from Numida meleagris (helmeted guineafowl), 10570 nucleotides. RefSeq lists it as uncharacterized. Lineage: Eukaryota; Metazoa; Chordata; Aves; Galliformes; Numididae. The transcript has 2 exons. The record is from RefSeq and is a predicted model, not a curated record.